GCCGAUGUGGCUCAGUGGUAGAGCAAUUGAUUCGUAAUCAAUAGGUCGGCGGUUCGAAUCCGCCCAUCGGCUCCA
Molecule: transfer RNA, 75 nt
Filed under: Syntrophomonadaceae bacterium
Lineage: Bacteria; Bacillati; Bacillota; Clostridia; Eubacteriales; Syntrophomonadaceae
Description: tRNA-Thr
Rfam family: tRNA
About the family: Transfer RNA (tRNA) molecules are approximately 80 nucleotides in length. Their secondary structure includes four short double-helical elements and three loops (D, anti-codon, and T loops).
Source: RNAcentral